This is a long non-coding RNA of Gossypium arboreum, 263 nucleotides long. RefSeq lists it as uncharacterized. The record is from RefSeq and is a predicted model, not a curated record. Lineage: Eukaryota; Viridiplantae; Streptophyta; Magnoliopsida; Malvales; Malvaceae. The transcript is spliced from 2 exons.
UGCUGCCCAAAUGCUCUUCCAGGUAAACGAAGGUAAUCCCUAGCAGUAGAUGGAUCGGUGCAGAGGAGGGCUCGACGAUGACCACCGCUAGUCAUGUGUUGGUUUUAUGAGUUAUAUUCUAUUUUAUUUGCAUUCAUUUAACAUUUAUCCUCGGGGUUAUUUUUUUGUAUUUAGGCUUGAACUGUUUUGGGUUUAUUUCGAGAUUUUAACUUGUUUAAUUUUGUUGAUUUAUAAACGGCGACACCACAAAUAAUUUUUGGAAA